Molecule: ribosomal RNA, 521 nt
Filed under: uncultured bacterium
Lineage: Bacteria
Description: bacterial SSU rRNA
Rfam family: Bacterial small subunit ribosomal RNA
Source: RNAcentral
UAGGACGAACGCUGGCGGCGUGCCUAAUACAUGCAAGUCGAACGGUCUUUCUAUGGAAGCUUGCUUCCACUGAGAAGAUAGUGGCGAACGGGUGAGUAACACGUGGGUAACCUGCCCAUAAGAGGGGGGAUAACAUCCGGAAACGGGUGCUAAUACCGCAUAGUUUUCUUGAUCGCAUGAUUGAGAAAGGAAAGAUGGCCUUUGUGCUGUCGCUUAUGGAUGGACCCGCGGCGUAUUAGUUAGUUGGUGAGGUAACGGCUCACCAAGACGAUGAUACGUAGCCGACCUGAGAGGGUGAUCGGCCACAUUGGGACUGAGACACGGCCCAAACUCCUACGGGAGGCAGCAGUAGGGAAUCUUCCGCAAUGGACGAAAGUCUGACGGAGCAACGCCGCGUGAGUGAAGAAAGGUUUUCGGAUCGUAAAACUCUGUUGUCAGAGAAGAACAAGUUGGAGAGUAACUGCUCCAGCCUUGACGGUAUCUGACCAGAAAGCCACGGCUAACUACGUGCCAGCAGCCGC